Molecule: transfer RNA, 72 nt
Filed under: Medicago truncatula (barrel medic)
Lineage: Eukaryota; Viridiplantae; Streptophyta; Magnoliopsida; Fabales; Fabaceae
Description: tRNA-OTHER
Source: RNAcentral
GUGAGCUUAUCUCAGUUGGUAAAGACAAUGCAUAAUAUAUGCAAGAUCCGGGUUCGAACCCUGGACAUCACA